Molecule: ribosomal RNA, 577 nt
Filed under: uncultured bacterium
Lineage: Bacteria
Description: bacterial SSU rRNA
Rfam family: Bacterial small subunit ribosomal RNA
Source: RNAcentral
GCAGCAGUAGGGAAUCUUCCGCAAUGGACGAAAGUCUGACGGAGCAACGCCGCGUGAGCGAAGAAGGUCUUCGGAUUGUAAAGCUCUGUUGUUAGGGAAGAACAAGUACCGCAGUAACUGGCGGUACCUUGACGGUACCUAACGAGAAAGCCACGGCUAACUACGUGCCAGCAGCCGCGGUAAUACGUAGGUGGCAAGCGUUGUCCGGAAUUAUUGGGCGUAAAGCGCGCGCAGGCGGUCCUUUAAGUCUGAUGUGAAAGCCCACGGCUCAACCGUGGAGGGUCAUUGGAAACUGGGGGACUUGAGUGCAGAAGAGGAGAGCGGAAUUCCACGUGUAGCGGUGAAAUGCGUAGAGAUGUGGAGGAACACCAGUGGCGAAGGCGGCUCUCUGGUCUGUAACUGACGCUGAGGCGCGAAAGCGUGGGGAGCAAACAGGAUUAGAUACCCUGGUAGUCCACGCCGUAAACGAUGAGUGCUAAGUGUUAGAGGGGUUACACCCUUUAGUGCUGUAGCUAACGCAUUAAGCACUCCGCCUGGGGAGUACGCCCGCAAGAGUGAAACUCAAAGGAAUUGACGG